AGUACCUCAUAACUUAACCUGUAAAUGCUCGUCAUCUGGAGUUUCCUUCACAGUCUGAACACCAGUCGAACAGGUCGUUUGUCACACCGUGGAAUACUGACUGUAAGAAAUCCGAGAUGUCUAACAAGGUAAAGGCGAACGGGAAAGACCCAGGGGCGGGUAGUCCAUGAGGUGGUCAGUCAGGGGAGUACACGCGGCCUAGAGAUCAUCGAAAGAAUAAAGCGCAUAUCUCAGUUCACGUGGAAUACUGAUAUGUAUGACCGCGAUUGGGCAUCAUCUUCACCGAAUUUAAAAUUGCAACGAUUGAAGCUUUCCCUAAUGCGACAAUGAACGGAGUGAUGUCCAGAGAAAAGGGUUCGUUUGAAGUGGCGAUGAAUGGCGAGUAUAUCUUCAUGAGGUCAGUAGAAGCUCCCGAUAGGAUGCCAAACGUAGACCAGCUGAUCAACUUGAUCCACGACCAACUCGAUGAGGAGGAAGCAGCAGAAAUGAAAAAGUCGACCAAAGUUUGUAACCUGUUGUAAAAGAUGGUCGCGCGCGUUCACCCACUCACGCCAACAAACUUGGUCGCAGGCCGAAAGUUUCCCCAGACCUUCUUAUUGGCUUGUUGCUAUUGAGAGCCGACGCCAGUAUGCGCUAGAAUUUGGUGCGUUUGGCCGGACGAUACCACGAGAAGUCCCCUAAAUUCUUUUUUUGGAAUUUCCUGAAUUAAAACUGUAUUUAUGAGUUGCAUCCUGGAGAAACAGCACUACGAUUUUCCGAGGUAAUUCCUCGGUUCGAAGUUGGAUUUCCUGGAAAUAUCAUCUCUAUCCUCGAAGGUCAUUGCUAUAACCCGCAGGAAGUGCUAAAAUCUUGCAUCAAAAUCCGGGAUCAAAAUCACAAUCAGCGGGUUAGUGAGAUGACAUCAGGAAUAGGGACGACUGUUCCAGAAAACCCUACCAUGAUCGGAGCAAUUCUCUCGGGAAACGUGCUUUUUCUCCAGAGUUUUGUAGAAGCAUUGACAGUCAAGGGUCUUGCCAUCUAUACGGCCGUUAUGAAGGCUUCCAUCGAAAGGUUGUCCAACCAGAUGGUCGCUGGAUGAAAAGGUUGUAGUAGUGAUGCCUCUGACAUUUUGACACAAACAUAAUCAGAUAUAGAGCUGUGAUUGUUUUCUAACCAACUGUUGAAUCCAUUCAACGAGCGAUAAUUGUAUAACUUACCAGAAAGUUAAGUUUAGAUUGAUAAGACAUUUUUGGUGAUUGAAAUUGAUCAUAAAAACUGAACCGUAUUCGAUCGUAAGAGAAACGCCGAUGAUGGAAAAGCAAUGCAAUAAAGUGCCUUUAGACAAUUGAAAUCGUAUUUCCUAUGGCGUGUUUGUUCUCAGUUCAAAAGCAUAAUAUCGAAAGGCAUUACUUGAUAGCAAUUCAUGAACCCGUCGAGGUCGAGUCUCGACCAGAGAUCGAAAGAUUACUUAAAUGUUAGCC
Molecule: long non-coding RNA, 1460 nt
Organism: Lineus longissimus
Lineage: Eukaryota; Metazoa; Nemertea; Pilidiophora; Heteronemertea; Lineidae
Exons: 4
Source: RefSeq, a predicted model, not a curated record